GUGCUCACCUCGGCAGCAAGCACACUAAGAUUGGAAUGAUGCAGGGCAGAUAGUGUGGCCUCUGGGUAAGAAUAGCACAUCAAUUCACGAAGCUUUCCAUGUUUCU
RNAcentral lists this small nuclear RNA (106 nucleotides) under Myotis lucifugus (little brown bat). Lineage: Eukaryota; Metazoa; Chordata; Mammalia; Chiroptera; Vespertilionidae. The record is from RNAcentral.